Molecule: ribosomal RNA, 493 nt
Filed under: Sephina geniculata
Lineage: Eukaryota; Metazoa; Arthropoda; Insecta; Hemiptera; Coreidae
Description: partial small subunit ribosomal RNA
Source: RNAcentral
UGAUUUUGAUUUUAUUUUAAUUAAUUAUUUAUAUAUUGUAUUAAAUAUAAGUUUUUGCGUGGUUAUAUUUUAAUCUAAAGGGUUAAAUUUUAUUUAUAGUUUUUAAUUUUUAUUUAUUCCAUAAAUGUAUAUUUAAGCUAUUUUUAUUAAAACUGUUUAAGAUUGUGCCAGCAAACGCGGUUACACAAUUAGUUUAGAUCAAUUUUUUUGGUUUGUAUUUAUUUAUUCUGUUAGGGAUUAAUUUAUUUUUAUUAGGUGGAAUUAUUAAUUUUGGUUAUAUUCUCUUGGUCAAAGAAUUAUAUAUAAUUUAGGAUUAUUAAACUAGGAUUAGAUACCCUAUUAUUCUAAAUGUAAAGUCAGGGCCAUAGGAUUAAUAGUUAUGAUCUUUAAAUUAAAAGAAUUUGGCGGUAAUUUAGUCUUUUCAGAGGAACCUGUCCUGUAAUCGAUGAUCCACGUUGGAUUCAACUUUAGUUUUAGCUUGUAUAUCUCUGUG